UAUCAGAGUUCUAGGUUUGGUGGAUCCUGGAUUUCCUUUAUGGAAAGCAGAGACCUUGAAGGAUUUGGGAGCCUGUGAGAUGAAUUUAACAAGAACUGAAUUUGAAUCCGGGUUGAUUGAUAGACCUAGGUUUCUGGAGAGGGUUAAAAACAGUAUGAAAAUUAUAGAGCAGGCGAGUAAUUGUAAAUCCUGUAUAAAAAUAGAACGACGGCUUGAUACAGGAGAACCUCUGGCAGAAGAAAAAUAAAAACUCUGUUUGUUUGUUUUAACUCACUGUUGGGUUUUUUAUGUUUAUUACAAAUAUAUUGUUUAAAAUAUAAUUGUUUUCAAGAAUAAAUGUUUCUUAAUCGUU
Molecule: long non-coding RNA, 352 nt
Organism: Eurytemora carolleeae
Lineage: Eukaryota; Metazoa; Arthropoda; Copepoda; Calanoida; Temoridae
Exons: 4
Source: RefSeq, a predicted model, not a curated record